AUGCCGGAGCUCGCCCAUCUGAUUAUGCUUGCCACGUCGGAGCCAAUUACAACAAGCGGGUGCUCGUGCUCGCCGACCCACAACAAUGAGGUGGACAGCGUCAGCGUGUUCACUCAACUCGAUUCACUCGGGAUGGCCGGCAAGAUCCAAAAUCAGAGUGACUGGAUCAAAGUUGCAGGAAGAUUCUUUUUUGGAAGGUUCAAGCUUGUCCAUCGAGAGGGAGGUGAGGAGAGGGGAUGGGGCGAAUAUUUCCUCUCCUCUGAUCCGACCAAAUGCCCGGCGCAAGUUUCCAUGGGUGGGAGCUACCCAGGAAUUGGAUCCUGCCCUUUUCCCUGUGCACCAAACAAGCCCUAUGGAUUAUAA
This 363-nucleotide ribosomal RNA is filed under the name Triticum aestivum (bread wheat). Its description in RNAcentral is "partial small subunit ribosomal RNA". The record is from RNAcentral. Lineage: Eukaryota; Viridiplantae; Streptophyta; Magnoliopsida; Poales; Poaceae.